AACGCACAUUGCACCCUCUGGUAUUCCGGGGGGUAUGCCUGUUCGAGCGUCAUUACAACCCUCAAGCUCUGCUUGGUAUUGGGUGUCACCUCGCAAUUGUGGUGCAUCUCAAAAUCAGUGGCGGUGCCACCUAGCCUCGAGCGUAGUAAAAUUUCUCGCUUUGGAGGUUUUGAUGUCCGCUUGCCAGCAACAAAUAUUCAAUGGUUGACCUCGGAUCAGGUAGGGAUACCCGCUGAACUUAA
RNAcentral lists this unclassified non-coding RNA (242 nucleotides) under uncultured fungus. RNAcentral's name for it is "sequence contains ITS2". Lineage: Eukaryota; Fungi. The record is from RNAcentral.